CGACCUUGAGCUCAGGCAAGA
Molecule: ribosomal RNA, 21 nt
Filed under: Micractinium pusillum
Lineage: Eukaryota; Viridiplantae; Chlorophyta; Trebouxiophyceae; Chlorellales; Chlorellaceae
Description: partial 28S ribosomal RNA
Source: RNAcentral